Leopardus geoffroyi (Geoffroy's cat) is the source of this 982-nucleotide long non-coding RNA. RefSeq lists it as uncharacterized. Lineage: Eukaryota; Metazoa; Chordata; Mammalia; Carnivora; Felidae. The transcript has 2 exons. The record is from RefSeq and is a predicted model, not a curated record.
AAUAUAACAAAAGAGGAGAAAAGAAAAACAUAACACUUCUGUAGUUAGAGAUUCAAAAGUAAAAGAGAUUGUUCAAUUACAGACAUAACAAUGUAAGGAUAUUCCAAAUAAAAAUUACAUGUACCUCUGAUCAUAAUACUUACAUAACUGGGUCAAACAUAUUUCGAAUCUUUAAACAUGGUGUCAAACUAUUUGGUGGUGAAUUUCUUCUAUCUAAAUGAAAUGCUACAAAAAACAAAUUAUUGUUACUAUUUGUCACUGUUCCAUUUAGUUCAUUCAAAACAUAUUCAUUGCAUGCUUUUCCUAGGAGCCAGACCCCUGGAUAUUAAGGUAAAUCAAAGAGAGACAAUCAUUGCUAUCAUAGAGUCUGCAGUUUAGUGGGUGAGACAGAUGAGAAACCGUGUCAAAAAAAACCCGUUAUUGUGGCAAAUCUUAAGAAAGAAGAAUACAGGAAGCUGUGAAAGUAACUUAGGUAGUCUGGAAGUAUAGCACUUGAGGAAGUAACAUUUAUGCUGGGACCCAAAAAGUAAUAAAAGUAGACAGAGUGAAGAGAAGUAUAAAGGGCAUUUCAAGCAAAUGUGAUAGCUUAUAUACAGCCCCAGGCAAGAAGGAGCUCAGUGCAGUCAAGUAACUAAAAGACAGCCACUGUGGCUAGAGCAGGAACAAUAGAAAGCUAAACCUUAACAGGGACAGGUCAGAUUAUUGAGAACCAUGAAGAUCACACUAAAGUGUUUAGACAUUGCCGUAAGACCAAUAGAAAGUCACUCAAGUUUUUUUCAAGGAGAGGAAUAAUAUGAUGAGAUCUAUCUUUUAAAAUUAUAAUUUUUAAAAGUAGACUGUUAUGUGGAAAAUCGAUUAGGUGGAAACAAAAGCGAAUGCAAGGAGACCAGUUAGAAAGUUACCAUAGUUGUUUAAGAGAAAGAGGAUACUAACGUGGGUAAGACAGGCCAGCAAUGCAGAUGGAAAUAAGUAGACAGACUCA